UCAUGAGAUCAUAUCUAAACAUGCUUAAUAACUCCAGAAAUUGCUUUCUUUGUAACACAUAUAUGUGAGUGUUCGUUUUCAUGUUUACAUCAAUCUUCUCACAUAUAACUAGUGUAGGGUGUGUAGUCAGAAAAUGUGUGAAAAUAGAGAGUAUCUUGUAAGGAAUUGAGCAAAUUCUCUAAGGCAUGUUACUACAUUCAAAACAUCAUUUUAAUUGGUUAAAUGUGAACUAAUAAGUGGUGACUGUAAUUAAGUAUGUGCUCAAGUGUGAAGAUAACUAAAAUCUGUGGGAAUAAUGAUUUUUAACAU
RNAcentral lists this long non-coding RNA (309 nucleotides) under Malus domestica (apple). Its description in RNAcentral is "long non-coding RNA (MDOM_LNC011601)". Lineage: Eukaryota; Viridiplantae; Streptophyta; Magnoliopsida; Rosales; Rosaceae. The record is from RNAcentral.